CUUGACCGAACCGAGCCACAGCGGCACGUCCCGUUCACGGCCGUAGGUGGCCAUGAGCGCCUGCAGUUC
This 69-nucleotide antisense RNA is filed under the name Actinocrispum wychmicini. RNAcentral describes it as "ASpks TB sRNA". It matches the Rfam family "ASpks TB sRNA". Lineage: Bacteria; Bacillati; Actinomycetota; Actinomycetes; Pseudonocardiales; Pseudonocardiaceae. The record is from Rfam by way of RNAcentral.